RNAcentral lists this transfer-messenger RNA (402 nucleotides) under uncultured Alistipes sp. It matches the Rfam family "transfer-messenger RNA". From Rfam's summary of the family: Bacterial tmRNA, also known as 10Sa RNA or SsrA, is named for its dual tRNA and mRNA-like properties. Its role is to liberate the mRNA from a stalled ribosome. Lineage: Bacteria; Pseudomonadati; Bacteroidota; Bacteroidia; Bacteroidales; Rikenellaceae. The record is from RNAcentral.
GGGGGUGCCCGGUUUUGACAGCAGGCAGGGUUUGAUUGUAAGCACGUCGAGCGCUGUGCGGCGGCUCGUAAAUCCCGCCGCUCGAAAAUCAAAUGGCAAUAACAGCUACGCACUCGCUGCCUAAUUUUCAAGGAAAAUUAGCUUAAUCCCCGGAGCCAAGGCGCCUCGGAGACGAGUAUCCCGAAGGGACGUUCCGCUCUUUAACGGCUCUUCAUACGGGGUAUCAUUCAUUUAGAGAUAGCGUGCCGGAGGGUCCCGGCCGGUGCGCGAAAUUCAAGGGACUGGGAUCCGGGUUAGGUUGCCGCCUGCCAGACCCGGAUAGAAGGAUCAAACGGCGGAUAAGCGUGUAGAAAGCUUUUGGGCUCCCUGUUUGGACGCGGGUUCGACUCCCGCCACCUCCAC